GAUGAAGAACGUAGCGAAAUGCGAUACUUGGUGUGAAUUGCAGAAUCCCGUGAACCAUCGAGUCUUUGAACGCAAGUUGCGCCCGAAGCCAUCAGGUUGAGGGCACGUCUGCCUGGGCGUCACAUAUCGUUGCCCAAUGCCUAUUGCAGUGCAAUAGGAAUUUCUAGGGCGAAUGAUGGCUUCCCGUGAGCGUUGUUGCCUCGCGGUUGGUUGAAAAUCGAGUCCUUGGUAGGGUGUGCCAUGGUAGAUGGUGGUCGAGUUAGAACGAUACCGAUCAUGUGCAUGCUCCCCAAAAUAUGGCCUCUAUGACCCACACGCGUCUUUUGACGCUCAUGACGAGACCUCAGGUCAGGCGGGGCUACCCGCUGAAUUUAAGCAUAUCAAUAAGCAGAGGA
This 395-nucleotide unclassified non-coding RNA is filed under the name soil metagenome. Its description in RNAcentral is "partial contains 5.8S ribosomal RNA, internal transcribed spacer 2, and large subunit ribosomal RNA". The stretch from base 1 to 122 matches the Rfam family "5.8S ribosomal RNA", at positions 35 to 154 of the family's 154-position model. The record is from RNAcentral.